GCGGAUGACGAGCCUUGCCCAGCCUGAAAGGUGAUGAUGUCGGUAUUAGCUGACGC
This is a non-coding RNA of Pyrococcus abyssi GE5, 56 nucleotides long. The record is from Rfam. Lineage: Archaea; Methanobacteriati; Methanobacteriota; Thermococci; Thermococcales; Thermococcaceae.